CCGAAUUGUUGACACGAGUUGUUGCUGGUCCUCAAAUGGGGGCAUGUGCACGCUCUGUUUACACAUCCACUCACACCUGUGCACCCACUGUAGUUCUAUGGCCUGGGGGGCUCCGUCCCUUUUGCCGUGGUUCUAUGUCUUUUACAUACACGCUGUAAUAAAGUUUCACGGAAUGCAUCGUGCGUUUAACGCAAUAUAAUA
RNAcentral lists this unclassified non-coding RNA (201 nucleotides) under uncultured Thelephoraceae. RNAcentral describes it as "sequence contains ITS1". The record is from RNAcentral. Lineage: Eukaryota; Fungi; Basidiomycota; Agaricomycetes; Thelephorales; Thelephoraceae.